AAUGAAGUGAAAGAAUUGGCAACAACAUUUUUGAUUUGGCCACUUUUUAGUGGCCCAUUGGCCAUUUGGCUAAUAUUUCUUUCCCUUUUCCUCUUGUUCCUUCGUCCAUUCUCCGUUUAUACCUUUUGGAUCGCGCACAGACAAAAUGUUUAUUUACUUUUUAAACAAUCUGUGGUUUUUCGACUACCCUCAAAUCAAUCGCGUUGUUUUUUUUACCUAAUUUGGUGAUUGAAUCUUAUAAUAGGUGCGACUCAAACACCAAAUAUAAAAUAGUGUUUUUUCGCUAAACACUACGAAUAAGUUUUAUUUAAGUACGUAAGUAUUUGUUCUAAGUGAUUAUUUAUUUAUAUAUUAUGCGUAAAUUCACAGAUAAAUAUUCUCUUAAUAGUAUUGUAGGAGUAUUACGUGAUAGUAAAAAAAUAGAUACGCAUGCUAUGUACUGUUACUCAUCGAUGACACCGAUAUAACUUAAUUAACAACAUUUACAAAACUCUAAAAUAAUUCUUUGACUCUAAUAUUUAAUUUCAACAACAGGUGGUGCAAACGGGAAUUUUGCCUUGGAUAGUUCAAGAACUCGGCGCUUGGCGAUAUUUUUGCUAUGCCUAAAAAGCGAAAAUAGUGGUGCAAACGGGAAUUUUGGCUUGGAUAGUUCAAGAACUCGGCGCUUGGCGAUAUUUUUGCUAUGCCUAAAAAGCGAAAAUAGUGGUGCAAACGGGAAUUUCGGCUUGGAUAGUUCAAGAACUCGGUGCUUGGCGAUAUUUUUGCUGUUCCUUGGAGGCGAAAAGAAUGGAGGCAAGUGAUGAGCUUGGUCGACCACCAACGAAUUCCCGUCCAUGACAUGAAGCGGAUGAUGACUAAGAGAUCGAACAAUAAUUUUAAACGAUUAACCUAACAGUGGCAGCAACCUAAAGGCGAAAUUAAAAGAAAAACAGAUUGAAAAUGUUUUGAAAAAAAAAUGAAAGAUUGACAAACUUUAAAAACUUGAGAAGUUUUAAGCCAGAAAUCAUUAAAGAUUAAAAAAAAAUAACACCAAAAAGAAUACAAAUAGAGUAAAAAAAUAAUUAGUUGAAAACUCUAGUUGCUAUAGAAGUCUACUCGUUGGCCGUCCUUGAAUACAUGAAAGAAUGAUAUUGUUCUACAGUAGACUCUUAAUAACAUCAAAACUGCAUGAAUACGCCACUUUUUAUUUUCCAUUUGGCAAUUUGCCCACCCGUUCUUUUACCUAUUUUCUUCUUCUCUUUAUGUCUUUUUAUACUUUUCGGUCUCACGUCGCUACCAGCCAGUAACAUUAACAUCUUCUCUCGGCGUGGAGGCCAAUAAGUUCGCACAACUUUUUCAACCUGGCUCUAGCCAACGGUUUGGUAAAAAUGUCUGCCAACUGGAGAUCACUAGUUACUUUCUCAACUUUAAGCUGACCGCCAGUCGCUUACUCUCGAACAAAGAAAUGUCGAAUCCUUGUACGUUUAGUUCGUCUAUGAAACUCCGGAUUAUUCACCAAACGAAUUGCCGCUUCGUUGUCCAAUAAUAGUGUAGGUAUCCUCUUCAUAUAAACAAUAUCUUUCAUGAGACGUGUAAGCCAGAUGCACUCUCUAGCUCCUUCACUGGCUGCUACAACUUCUGCUUCCGUUGUGGAAAUAGCCACGCUUUGUUGUCUUUGGCCCAUCCAAGAAACAGCUCCGCCUGCAUACACAGUACUACAGAAGUAGAUCUUCCAGUGCCAACAUCCCCACCGUGAUCAGCAUCACUGAAACAUAACCACCAGUAAACCCUUCUUAUAGUUCCUUUUAUAUAGAAUGCCAAAAUCGGGACAGUACUUUAAGUAUCUCAGAAUGCGUUUCAAUCUGAUACAAUCUUUGACACUUGGAUUUUCUCACUCACACUGUAUGCAAUAUCUGGCCUAGUUCCGACCAUCAAAUAUGCUAGCGCUCCAACUACCUGUCUAAAAAUGUUAUCCACGUGUGUCUCAUUAUUAUUUACAGACUCAUUGUCUUUUAUUAUUGGUGUCGUAACAGUUCUACCGAAGAGUAUAAUCGGCGUCUGUGUUUAGCGUUUGUGGAAUAUGAAAAAGCCUUUGACUCUAUCGAGAUCUGGUCUGUUCUGGAAUCUUUGAAGCGAUGCCACGUCGAUUGGCGAUACAACCAAGUGCUGAGAAGUCUUUACAACGCCGCUACAAUGGCCGUCCAAGUCCAGAACCAGCGAUCUGAACCUAUCCCCUUGCAUCGAGGUGUGAGACAAGGGGACGUUAUAUCCCCCAAAUUGUUCACAAAUGCAUUGGACGAUAUGUUGCAAGACGCUGGACUGGACGAGGCGCGGCAUUAACAUAAAUGGCGAGUACCUCUCACACUUGUGAUUUGCAGAUGACAUCGUCAUCAUGGCGGAAAGGCUGCAAGAUUUGCAACAUAUGCUGAACGGCGUAGCUGAUUCUUCUCAACGCGUUGGUCUUCGGAUGAACCUGGAUAAAACCAAGGUUAUGUUCAAUGAACAUGUAAGUCCGGAACCAAUUGCAGUUCAAGGCAGCAUUCUCGAAGUAGUUAAGAAGUACGUUUACCUCGGGCAAAUUAUGCAAUUAGGUAAAAACAACUUCAAAAGAGAGGCCAACAGAAGAAUACAGUUGGGAUGGGCAGCGUAUGGGAAACUGCGUCAGGUCUUCACAUCACCAAAUCCAUAGAGUCUAAAGACUAAAGUCUUCGACCAGUGCGUCCUACCCGUCAUGACAUACGGUGCUGAAAAAUGGACAAUUACGGUAGGGCUGGUCCAUAAAUUUAAAGUUGCUCAACGUGCUAUGGAAAGGGCUAUGCUCGGAGUUUCUCUGAAAGAUAAAAUUCGUUACGAAGUGAUCCGACAGAGAACCAAAGUUACCGACAUAGCCCACCGCAUUAGCACGCUGAAGUGGCAAUGGGCCGGCCAUAUAACCCGUAGAACCGAUAACCGUUGGAGUAGACGAGUUCUUGAGUUGAGACCAUAGGUCGGAAAACCUCAGUCCACAGACUCAGUGGAGUGGUCGAUGAUCUUCGCAGGGCAGCUGGCAAGUGCUGGAUGAGAGUGGCCGAGGAUCGUGCUUAGUGGCGUGCCACGGGAGAGACCUAUGUCCAGCAGUGGAUUAGUAUAGGCUGAUGAUGAUGAUGAUGAUGAACAGCUCUACAAUUCUGCAUACCAAAUCUCUCAAUCAUUCUAUUGGUACAUGAAGUCUGGGAGAUCUUAAUUCCACCUUCUCUGGUUUCAAUUUCAAUACUCAGAAAGUAACUUGCUGGUUAUUUUAAAAUGACGCUUCAUUUCUUCGAGAAACUCAUCCAAUAAAGUUUGAUUUGAUCCGGCAAUCAGGCCAUAAUCAACAUAUAAAACCACAAUCAGAAUACCACCUUGAUUUUUCCUUAGAAAUAAGCAAGGAUCAGCAUUGCUUACUUUGAAACCAGUUUCUUUGAAGAAAUCCAGUAUACGACGGUUCCAACACCUUAGAGCUUGCUUCAAGCCAUAUAAACUCUUCUUUAAUAGACAUACUCGACCAGAGCCAUCGUCGUAUCCUUCAGGUUGUUUCAUGAAAAUCUCUUCAUCUAAUAAUCCAUAGAGAAAAGCGGUCGAAACAUCGAAAUGCAUCAAACACAUAUCCUCGCUUGCAGCUAUACUAAUUACAGCUCUGACGUGAACUGAUGAUAUACUGAUUUGAACGUUACCAUGAAUGUUGACAAUGAAGUGAAAGAAUCGGCAACAACAUUUUUGAAUUGGCCACUUUUUAGUGGCCCAUUGGCCGUUUGGCUAAUAUUUCUUUCCCUUUUCCUCUUGUUCCUUCAUCUAUUCUCCGUUUAUACCUUUUGGAUCGCGCACAGACAAAAUGUUUAUUUACUUUUUAAACAAUCUGUGGUUUUUCGACUACCCUCAAAUCAAUCGCGUUGUUUUUUUUACCUAAGUUGGUGAUUGAAUCUUAUAAUAGGUGAGACUCAAACACCAAAUAUAAAAUAGUGUUUUUUCGCUAAACACUACGAAUAAGUUUUAUUUAAGUACGUGGUGCAAACGGGAAUGUUGGCUUGGAUAGUUCAUGAACUCGGCGCCUGGCGAAAUUCUUUCUGAGCCCAACAAGAGAACAGGAUGGAAAGCAAGAGAUGGAUACCAGGUCGGACGUCAAAGGAGAUAUGGAAGCGGAGAAAGACGAGAAGAUAGAAACGAUUUUAUCUGGUGAUUACACGUUAACUGGGAUAUUCACUGACUUUUAUGACAAUGGGAUCAUUGCUGAAAAGAAAGAGGAAUUAAAAGAAAAGCGUUUACGGUACGGCCACAUCCAACGCUGUCCCGACGAUCAUA
Molecule: long non-coding RNA, 4296 nt
Organism: Papilio xuthus (Asian swallowtail)
Lineage: Eukaryota; Metazoa; Arthropoda; Insecta; Lepidoptera; Papilionidae
Exons: 9
Source: RefSeq, a predicted model, not a curated record